RNAcentral lists this ribosomal RNA (255 nucleotides) under uncultured bacterium. RNAcentral's name for it is "partial 16S ribosomal RNA". It matches the Rfam family "Bacterial small subunit ribosomal RNA", at positions 524 to 776 of the family's 1533-position model. The record is from RNAcentral.
UACGGAGGGGGCAAGCGUUGUUCGGAAUUACUGGGCGUAAAGGGCGCGCAGGCGGCUGCUCAAGUCAGGCGUGAAAGGCCUGGGCUCAACCCGGGAAUUGCGCUUGAGACUGGGCUGGCUUGAGUGCGGGAGAGGAUGGUGGAAUUCCCAGUGUAGAGGUGAAAUUCGUAGAUAUUGGGAAGAACACCGGUGGCGAAGGCGGCUCUCUGGACCGAGACUGACGCUGAGGCGCGAAAAGCGUGGGGAGCAAACAGG